AUGAACGCUGGCGGCGUGCCUAAUACAUGCCAGUCGAGCGAACAGACGAGGAGCUUGCUCCUCUGACGUUAGCGGCGGACGGGUGAGUAACACGUGGAUAACCUACCUAUAAGACUGGGAUAACUUCGGGAAACCGGAGCUAAUACCGGAUAAUAUAUUGAACCGCAUGGUUCAAUAGUGAAAGACGGUUUUGCUGUCACUUAUAGAUGGAUCCGCGCCGCAUUAGCUAGUUGGUAAGGUAACGGCUUACCAAGGCAACGAUGCGUAGCCGACCUGGGAGGGUGAUCGGCCACACUGGAACUGAGACACGGUCCAGACUCCUACGGGAGGCAGCAGUAGGGAAUCUUCCGCAAUGGGCGAAAGCCUGACGGAGCAACGCCGCGUGAGUGAUGAAGGUCUUCGGAUCGUAAAACUCUGUUAUUAGGGAAGAACAAAUGUGUAAGUAACUAUGCACGUCUUGACGGUACCUAAUCAGAAAGCCACGGCUAACUACGUG
RNAcentral lists this ribosomal RNA (496 nucleotides) under uncultured bacterium. Its description in RNAcentral is "partial 16S ribosomal RNA". It matches the Rfam family "Bacterial small subunit ribosomal RNA", at positions 29 to 507 of the family's 1533-position model. The record is from RNAcentral.